This is a long non-coding RNA of Lucilia sericata (common green bottle fly), 389 nucleotides long. RefSeq lists it as uncharacterized. Lineage: Eukaryota; Metazoa; Arthropoda; Insecta; Diptera; Calliphoridae. The transcript has 6 exons. The record is from RefSeq and is a predicted model, not a curated record.
AUGAAAUGGAAGGGGAGGAGAGAGAAUGCAAAAACGCAUUCAUUAAUAUUUUUCAAUGGCGGUGAUCAACAAUGGAAAAGACGGAGGAUGCUGCAGAUUCUGGUGGAAUAUUGGAAUGUGGCUACAGUUAGCUAUUGGGUAGGUGCUGAUGUAAUUUCUGGAGUUGGACAUGUGCAAGAUUAAACUUCUAGAUGAUCUUGAACUUCAAACUGGCCUUAGAUUUCGUUUAGGAUCCAACACUAAUCCAACACCUGAGGAAAGUGAAGUGGAAGAUCGAGACCCUAGUGAAAGGUCAGGUUAUUAAGACUUCAAGUGUCCCUGAGAAGGACGAACUGAAGGGACGAAAACACCAAUUAGAAGCCAAAUUCAGUGUAAUUCAUGGGACUUGG